CGUCUUCAGAGUGUUGGUGCUCUGCCUUUCACCAGCAGCAACACUUCAGCGAAGUGGGCGGUUUUGUUGGGACAACGGAAUCUGCUCAUCUAAAGGUAAGCUCUGAUUUAUUCACGAGGUUGUACCACUGAUCAAGUGGCAUGACGUACCUAUAGGUUUUAUUCAUGAGUUCCAAAUGAAUUUGUUAACCAUCUAGUCGAUGUGUUUGUGUCUGUAUAUAUGCACACAGUAUGCCUAUAGGUUUGUAGAACUCCGCGUUGUGUUGUGAUGGCUAAAUUAUGAUUUUCUAGAUUCUUAAUGUUCAAGUACGUUACAAACCUGAAGUCAAAACAUAAGCAAACAAUAAACUGACAAAAUUAGAUAGUGUACAGAUUCCUAGAUUGAGUAUAAUACGAGGAUUAUUGCAGGGGUGUUUUAACCACGUCACGAGAUUUUUUAAACAUGCAUGUCUACUAGGUCCCCACUACAUAAAAUAACAAUAAAUAAAUAAAUAAUUGGCUUUUCAAUUACCAAUCUUAAAAGAAUUAUAGAAGCAUUGAUUUUCAAUAUUGAAACUAAAAACAGUUCCGGUUUCAGCAAAUUCAAAUUAGGAUUGUGAGUUCUUUUAUCUUCAGCUUUCGCUUGUCUAAGUGGACACUACAACCCUAAACUCUAAAAUCAGAUAGGCUUGGCUCAACUCCUAAACAGGACAAAGUCCCUAUAAGAUUUUAAUUUAAUAUUUAUUUUGACUCAGCGGUUCUAAGAUUUCAAUUAAUUAUUGACAUUGCGAUGGAUCGGAUGCUGAAAUUGGCUUUCAAUUUUGUACUGAAAUGGAUAUGGUAUUUUUUUUAUUACUACGAUACCUCCACUUGUUUUCAAAAUUUAAAUUGUGGUACUGAAAUUAUGAUCUGGUCUACCGAAUUUGUGGUAGUGAAACUGGGAAUUGGACGAACGCUCUUCUACUCAGCUACUUGGACGUGCUCUCAAGGUCUCAGCUCAUGAGCCUCCCACUCUUCCUUGUGAAGCAGCAAAUGCAACAUACCUAAAGGUGAAUAGAGUAUUUAUUUGUACUAUAAAUGUCAUAAGAAAAAGUUGACUAUAGGCUGGUUAUAGUUUACCCAUGAUUCAUCAUGUCAUUCUUAGGUGCAUAAACUAAGGUGUACAUAAUUUAUUUUGUGGAGGAAGAAUAUGGUAACUUAAACAGUAUUACAUGUGAUGCCAUGUCGCUGCGGGGAAGCAUUCACACACUCACGUUUGGCAUGUUCCAUGCAGCAGACCUGUCGUCAUUGGUUGAGGUAAGCAACGUUUCUUGCUUUCUCAUAUAUUUAUUUUUAUUCACUAAGUUCAACCUUGUACUUGGGAAGUCAAAUCACUAUUUCUGUUCAAGGUUGUCAUGAAAAUUUCAAAAAUGGAAUGGAAUGAAUUAACAGUGCGCUUCUGCAUUUUUGACUUAGAUGUUGCAAGGCUGCGAGGUGAGGGCAGACGGUGCACGUCAUCACUGCCGCUCUCUCCUGUCUCUGUUUUUCUCUUUGCUGAAGAAAUUUCACACAACCAGGAGCAGUGAAUAGGGUUACAAUUUGUGAAUUGAGAUGUUUGUGCAGUUGCUGCACUUUUAUAACCACUUCUGAUUAGUUGCGGAUGCAAUGAUGUUUAGCUGAUGUGGAAUAUUUUUGACUAGAAUCCUUGAUUGUGUAUUUGUUCCAUUUUUAAAUUUAUUUAUUCAUGCUUCAUACACACCAGAUACAAUUUCAUCUAAGGAAAAUCAAGGUCUGAUUGAAAAAAAUUAAGUUCUUGGCACAAUUAACAUUGGAUGACCCGCCUUGCUAUAUUAUGAACAUGCUUGCUUUAAAUUAUUAGUUAAUUGAAAUAAUUUAUAAUUUUAUCUCUGUAGUUGCAUCCUCCAUAUUUUGAUAAAAUUUACAAAUGUCAGAUUUUGUUCAUUAGCAUAGGUUCAUGAAUGCCGAGCGCAUCCAAUCGACAUCGUCAAACUUUGGGCUCUAGCACUUUGCUCUGUUUGUGAGGAUGGAUCAAUAGUGCGCUCACCAAGUGGCAGCAGUAGAAGCAACACUCAAAAGGAGCGACACAACAAAGACGGAGGACGACAUCGAGCGGAGGUGAGCCACUACCAAUUUAUCAUGAAAGACUUCUGUCUCAUGUGUUACGUCUGAUUGUUUGAACUUUGUUGUUAUCAAGCUAAAGGUCUUGUGGUUUGCGCGGAUGAUUUUCUUUCAUACCCUAAAAUAUUUUCCCUUAAUAUUUCUGAAAUUAUUAUUUGUACAUUAUUUUCUGAUAUUUACCUCCUAUUUUGCAGGCUAUAUAGAAUGAUUGCAGGUUUUAAUCAAGAAGUCCUCAAUAGGUGGACUGGCUCAAAAUGGAGAAGCAUGCUGGUAGCUUUUGUGUUGAUUGUAUUAAGCAUUUAAGUUUGUAGCAAUUCAUAACGUCAAAUCAUUGGGAUGCUUUGUAAUAUUUUAGAAGACUGUGUUUCUUUGCUGGAUCUAGCGUGCUGUCUAUAGAUGUCCUUACCUACUUCCUUCUCACAUAUGGAAUGGGUUUUCGGAUAGCCUAGACAUACGGAGACAAUUUGGGGGUGUCGAUUCUCUCUCUCUCUCUCUCUCUCUCUCUCUCUCAUAGAAUAAUGAACAACCGAUAAGACUAAUAUUAUAUACCUUCUCAUCAGUCCUACAGUGCAUUAUUUGACUUUUGUGCUAAUACAAGGAGAAAGUAUGUUG
RNAcentral lists this long non-coding RNA (2708 nucleotides) under Triticum aestivum (bread wheat). Its description in RNAcentral is "long non-coding RNA (TAES_LNC021770)". Lineage: Eukaryota; Viridiplantae; Streptophyta; Magnoliopsida; Poales; Poaceae. The record is from RNAcentral.